This 29-nucleotide non-coding RNA is filed under the name Mus musculus (house mouse). The record is from RNAcentral. Lineage: Eukaryota; Metazoa; Chordata; Mammalia; Rodentia; Muridae.
UGCAAAUUAAGCUGUUGAAAACUUCCUGA